Lolium rigidum is the source of this 724-nucleotide long non-coding RNA. RefSeq lists it as uncharacterized. Lineage: Eukaryota; Viridiplantae; Streptophyta; Magnoliopsida; Poales; Poaceae. The transcript is spliced from 5 exons. The record is from RefSeq and is a predicted model, not a curated record.
GCUAAGGUCGCCUCUCGUGGGGCUGCAUCCUCUGCGGCGAGGCCGCUCUCCGUUCGGUUCGGGUCACCACCCGUGCCGUCCACCUCCUCUGCGCACCGUUUCUCGAUUCGACGGGCCUUCUCAUCCGAGGAUCGAGUUCAGAGUGAAAUAAACGGACUCAAGCACGAGAUUGGGGAGCUAAAACUGGCGAUGCAGUGCAGUGAGGAAAAGCAGAAGACGUUUGAAGCAUCAAUGAGGUCAGAAAUCCAUCAAUCGGAGGUUGCAAACCUCAAGACAACUUUAACCCUUAUCGGUCUCCUGUGUGGAUAUGCCUCAGUCAUGAUGUGCCUGUACCAACUCACUCCGUCUGAGGCUGAGGCCCCCGGCAUUGUGCUGGUCUAGUUCUUCAGAGGCAACUCAAGCUCUGCUGGGAACUUCAAAACCUUUCGCAACUGGCCAGAGCAAUAUUCAGUUUUGUAUUUUGUUACCAAUGUUACUGCUCAGAAGUGAACGUCUCUGCACAUUAUGGAACGGCUCGGCCAUUUUUAGGUUACCUCCCUUAGAAGCUCUGAAGUGACUGUGUGGCUGGUGAACCUUCUGUGUCCAGUUAAUAUCUGCCAAAUCUGACGUGAAGAGUAAUUCUGGUCAAAUUUAGUGCUGUUUUAGACUAAUGUGCUUGCAUCUCUUGAGUUUAUUCAAAUCGUGAAAUGUUGAAUGAAGUUUAUUUCUAGUAGUCUAUAUUGGA